UGACGGGUUGCCCGGCGGUCGCCUGGUAACCGGUCGCGGCGGUCCUGGCUGCGGCAGCUCAGGCGGCGAAGGCCGCCGAGGACUGUGGGCCGGAGCCCACGCCGGGCGCUUUCUGCCUGUUUUGUGAUGGCGGCCGCCGCGGCAGUGGUCACGCCGUCAGGUUUGGAAGAUGGAGUGUCUCGAUCCCGCGGCGAAGGGGCAGGGGAGGUGGUCGUGGAGCGGGGGCCCGGCGCGGCCUACCACAUGUUCGUGGUGAUGGAGGACCUGGUGGAGAAGCUGAAGCUGCUCCACUACGAGGAGGAACUCCUCCGGAAGAACAACCUGAAGCCCCCGUCCAGACACUAUUUUGCACUGCCUACCAACCCUGGUGAACAGUUCUACAUGUUUUGCACUCUUGCUGCUUGGCUGAUUAACAAAGCAGGACGCCCCUUUGAGCAACCUCAAGAAUAUGAUGACCCUAAUGCAACUAUAUCUAACAUAUUAUCUGAGCUUCGAUCACUUGGCAGAACUACAGAUUUUCCUCCUUCAAAAUUAAAGUCAGGUUACGGAGAACAUGUAUGCUAUGUUCUUGACUGUUUAGCAGAAGAAGCAUUAAAAUAUAUUGGUUUCACCUGGAAAAGACCAACAUAUCCAGUGGAAGAAUUAGAAGAAGAAACUAUCCCAGAAGAUGAUGCAGAAUUAACAUUAAAUAAAGUGGAUGAAGAAUUUGUGGAAGAAGAAACAGACAAUGAAGAAAACUUUAUUGAUCUCAAUGUCUUAAAGGCCCAGACGUAUCGUUUGGAUAUGAACGAGUCUGCCAAACAGGAAGAUAUUUUGGAAUCCACAACAGAUGCUGCAGAAUGGAAUCUCGAAGUGGAACGUGUACUACCACAACUGAAAGUCACGAUUAGGACUGACAAUAAGGAUUGGAGAAUCCAUGUUGACCAAAUGCACCAACACAAAAGUGGAAUAGAAUCUGCUCUAAAGGAGACCAAGGGAUUUUUGGAUAAACUUCAUAAUGAAAUUAGCAGGACUCUGGAAAAGAUCAGCAGCCGAGAAAAGUACAUCAACAAUCAGCUUGAGCACUUGGUUCAAGAAUAUCGUGCGGCUCAAGCCCAGCUGAGUGAGGCGAGGGAGCGAUACCAGCAGGGUAACGGUGGAGUAACGGAAAGGACCCGGCUCCUGUCUGAGGUGACAGAAGAACUGGAAAAGGUAAAGCAAGAAAUGGAAGAAAAAGGCAGCAGCAUGACUGACGGUGGUGAGUACACACUCAUCCUCAGGGGAAGAUGAGCAAGAGGAGAGUAUUUCCCAAGAAAUCUAUUUAACAAAAUGCUAUUCGUAAAUCGGGAGUCUGCUUUUUAAAAUGAGUUUGAGGAGAGGUAGGUAUGUGGUACAAAAAUGAUGUCUGAUAAUCCAUAUACUGUUUUCCUCAUCAGUCACCUCAGGGGAAUCAUUUUUUUUUAUCCUUAUUUAGGAUUUUUUUAUUCUAACUGUGUUGAUUUAGAGAUAGAGUGGGAAAUACUUAAAUAUACACUUUGUUAUUCCGAUUUAAAAAAAAAAACAAUAUUUGCUGUUUUCUCAAAUGAGCUUCAUUAUUCCACUUUAUGUGCAAAAGAGCACUAAGUGUGUGCCCAAAUGGCAUGAAGGCAGUGAUGGGGUGACCUUUGUUUAUCUUCCUCUCCCCCAGUGGACCCAACUGGGCAGAGCGGUCAAAUAGAGAAGAAUUAAUAAUCCUCUACUAAUCAUGCUCCAUCAUGAGCUAGUCACUUUGACACGGCCUGGUUUAUUGCCUAAGGCCCUUCUGUGUUCUAGAAAGAUUUUCCAGAGUUCUGAUGAUAUAAACUGAGUGAUUAUCCAAAAGGGGACGUAUAGAGAUUUUGUACUAUGUUUGAAUGAACCCAUUAACUCUAUCUCUCAGGUAGUUCUUUCUUCCUUUUUUUCCCCAUUGUAUCCCUUUUCCUUCAGACAAAUAUUCUAGCUCAUAAAAUUUAUUAAAGACAUCCUUAAAUACCCCUUUAGCACCUCUUCCCCAAGAAAAGGAAGGAGUUUAACCUCAGCUCAAAUGUUGCAUCAUUUCACAUCCUAAAAAUCUCAGGUAUUUAAAAUACCACCGCAAAACCAUGUGAAUGUCAGUAUGUUGUAGGUUUUGUUUUUAACCCUGUUUUUGGCUUAAGACAAAGUGAGGAAAAUGUCAUGCAAUUCUGUAAUAGACUGAUACUCCAAAUGAACAUUUUUAUUGCAUGUUAUUUUCAUUCUGCAGCUCCCUUGGUAAAGAUUAAACAGAGCUUAACAAAGCUGAAGCAAGAAACGG
Molecule: RNA transcript, 2290 nt
Organism: Lutra lutra (Eurasian river otter)
Lineage: Eukaryota; Metazoa; Chordata; Mammalia; Carnivora; Mustelidae
Gene: IFT57
Gene name: intraflagellar transport 57
Exons: 11
Source: RefSeq, a predicted model, not a curated record